Non-coding RNA from Molossus molossus (Pallas's mastiff bat), 130 nucleotides. RefSeq annotates it as small Cajal body-specific RNA 24. Lineage: Eukaryota; Metazoa; Chordata; Mammalia; Chiroptera; Molossidae. The record is from RefSeq and is a predicted model, not a curated record. The transcript has a single exon.
UGGACCUUAACUUUUAUUCAGUUUCUUCUUAAGGUGAAGAAAACUCUUUGCAAAAGUCCCAGGGAAAUAUGAGAACUUUUGCUUCACCCUUUGCAAGUAAAAAGGAUAGAUCAUUCCACUGCUGACAUAU